UACGAAGGGGGCUAGUGUUGUUCGGAAUUACUGGGCGUAAAGCGCACGCAGGCGGAUUUAUAAGUCAGGGGUGAAGUCCCGGGGCUCAACCUCGGAAUUGCCCUUGAUACUGUCUAUCUUGAGUCCGGGAGAGGUGAGUGGAAUUCCUAGUGUAGAGGUGAAAUUCGUAGAUAUUAGGAAGAACACCAGUUGCGAAGGCGGCGCACUGGCCCGGUACUGACGCUCAUGUGCGAAAGCGUGGGGAGCAAACAGG
This 253-nucleotide ribosomal RNA is filed under the name uncultured bacterium. Its description in RNAcentral is "partial 16S ribosomal RNA". It matches the Rfam family "Bacterial small subunit ribosomal RNA", at positions 524 to 776 of the family's 1533-position model. The record is from RNAcentral.